Molecule: ribosomal RNA, 447 nt
Filed under: uncultured Microbacteriaceae bacterium
Lineage: Bacteria; Bacillati; Actinomycetota; Actinomycetes; Micrococcales; Microbacteriaceae
Description: bacterial SSU rRNA
Rfam family: Bacterial small subunit ribosomal RNA
Source: RNAcentral
CCCUACGGGCGGCUGCAGUGGGGAAUAUUGCACAAUGGGCGCAAGCCUGAUGCAGCAACGCCGCGUGAGGGACGACGGCCUUCGGGUUGUAAACCUCUUUUAGCAGGGAAGAAGCGCAAGUGACGGUACCUGCAGAAAAAGCACCGGCUAACUACGUGCCAGCAGCCGCGGUAAUACGUAGGGUGCAAGCGUUGUCCGGAAUUAUUGGGCGUACAGAGCUCGUAGGCGGUCUGUCGCGUCUGCUGUGAAAACCCGAGGCUCAACCGCGGGCCUGCAGUGGGUACGGGCAGACUAGAGUGCGGUAGGGGAGAUUGGAAUUCCUGGUGUAGCGGUGGAAUGCGCAGAUAUCAGGAGGAACACCGAUGGCGAAGGCAGAUCUCUGGGCCGUAACUGACGCUGAGGAGCGAAAGCGUGGGGAGCGAACAGGAUUAGAUACCCUAGUAGUCC